UACGAAGGGGGGCUAGCGUUGCUCGGAAUCACUGGGCGUAAAGGGUGCGUAGGCGGGUCUUUUAAGUCAGGGGUGAAAUCCUGGAGCUCAACUCCAGAACUGCCUUUGAUACUGAGGAUCUUGAGUUCGGGAGAGGUGAGUGGAACUGCGAGUGUAGAGGUGAAAUUCGUAGAUAUUCGCAAGAACACCAGUGGCGAAGGCGGCUCACUGGUCCGAUACUGACGCUGAGGUGCGAAAGCGUGGGGAGCAAACAGG
This 255-nucleotide ribosomal RNA is filed under the name uncultured bacterium. RNAcentral's name for it is "partial 16S ribosomal RNA". It matches the Rfam family "Bacterial small subunit ribosomal RNA", at positions 524 to 776 of the family's 1533-position model. The record is from RNAcentral.